AGUUUUAAAAUAUUGCCUCUGUAAAAUAAUGCCUUAAAAAAUUAAAUUGAUCUUGUUCUGUAAAUGAAAUUAAGUAAUUGUGCUUCAUUAUAUUUUUUAAAAGGAAGAUAAAAAUUCAAGAUAUUUUAGCAUGCAGCUUCCUAGAUGAUUUACUAGAGCUUAGGGAUGAGGAACUGUCAAAAAAGAGUCAAGAAACCAAUUGGUUUUCUGCUUCUUCUGCCCUUAGGGUUUAUGGUCAGUAUUUGAAUCUUGAUAAAGACCACAAUGGCAUGCUCAGUAAAGAAGAACUCUCCCGUUAUGGAACAGCAACCAUGACCAAUGUCAUCCUAGACCGUGUUUUCCAAGAGUGUCUCACUUACGAUGGAGAAAUG
Molecule: long non-coding RNA, 371 nt
Organism: Nannospalax galili (Upper Galilee mountains blind mole rat)
Lineage: Eukaryota; Metazoa; Chordata; Mammalia; Rodentia; Spalacidae
Exons: 3
Source: RefSeq, a predicted model, not a curated record